AUCCGGUUUUGAGUGAGGCGUUACAGAAGGAGUGGGAUGAAGUUGCUCAAGCUCGAUAUGAAGAUCUCAUCACAGAACAGGGUUAUAAUAAGCUGCUGAAGGAGCUGUUUGAAGAGGCUGGUCUCCUGAGAAAAGCUCAACAGCCGAAAGCAGAGAAGAGCACGACGUCUCUCACACAUCAGAGUCUGGAGCAGUGCACACAGGAUUUUGAAAAGCAGAGCACUGAGAUAGAGCAGCUACAAUCACUCUUAACACAACAUAACAUCUCCUACCAGACGACAACAGGCAGGACACGGGAUCAGGGUCCCUUACCCGUCCAGGACCAGCACCUCCUCGGCGACACUGGCUUUAUCGCUGAUCUGCACUAAGAUGCCCAGCAGGAUCACAAAACAUACAGCUAAUCAUUCAGGGAAAUAAUGCUACUGUGAGAUAAUGGUAUUUAUUGAUUUUUAAAUUUGAUCUGACAAUGUAUUAUGAAAAAUAA
Long non-coding RNA from Sinocyclocheilus grahami, 484 nucleotides. RefSeq lists it as uncharacterized. The record is from RefSeq and is a predicted model, not a curated record. NCBI's taxonomy places the organism in Eukaryota, Metazoa, Chordata, Actinopteri, Cypriniformes, Cyprinidae. The transcript has 4 exons.